This 264-nucleotide ribosomal RNA is filed under the name uncultured bacterium. Its description in RNAcentral is "partial small subunit ribosomal RNA". It matches the Rfam family "Bacterial small subunit ribosomal RNA", at positions 26 to 285 of the family's 1533-position model. The record is from RNAcentral.
AGAAUCAACGCUGGCGGCGUGCCUCAGACAUGCAAGUCGUACGAUUAAAGCUCUCUUCGGAGAGUGCAUAAAGUGGCGUACGGGUGAGUAACACGUAAGUAAUCUACCUUUGAGUGGGAAUAACAGUCGGAAACGACUGCUAAUACCGCAUAAUGCAGCGGCUCGACAUCGAGACAGUUGUUAAAGAAUUUAUUCGCUUAAAGAGGAGCUUGCGGCAGAUUAGCUAGUUGGUAAGGUAAUGGCUUACCAAGGCAACGAUCUGUA